RNAcentral lists this small RNA (1493 nucleotides) under Oryza sativa Japonica Group (Japanese rice). Its description in RNAcentral is "sRNA Os11g0135350". The record is from RNAcentral. Lineage: Eukaryota; Viridiplantae; Streptophyta; Magnoliopsida; Poales; Poaceae.
AGAACUCCUCCCCCUACUGGAGCAAUUGCCUUGAAAAAUGACAUAGCUGUUGUUGAUACACCAUUUGCAGUGCCUCUAUGUUCUUGAAGCUGAUAUUGAAUUUCAAAGAAGAACUUUGAAAAUGCUUACUGCAAGAGCACUUUUCAUCAUUGCCGCUGAAUAAAGAGCAAACGAAAGUCCCGUGCCAGAAAGGUAUGUCAUAAAAGGAUAAGUAGAAAGAAUAAGUAUAGAUAGAGCCUGCAAUUUCAGUAAAUAUGAGUGAUGAAGAUGAAAUGUCUCAUGAAUAGUUCAGAAUAUAUAUAUAUAAAUCUGUAUGGUGGGAGGGAGAUGGCAAUAUACCUGCAGCAGCAAGAACUUGACCAAUAUCCUCAGAUGAAAAGCUAAGGCCACCAUAUUUUCUAUCACUCACAGCCCACAAGGAUAUAUGCUUCUUUACCUCACUAUAUGCUGUGUCAUGAAGACCAAAAAAACAAUAUGAAAUCAUAGUAGACAUCCAUGGCCAAUUCUGCAACAAGCUUUUCUUGCGAGGUGAAUCCCAAUAAGCCUGCUGUAAUGGCAAUUCUUUGAUUCUUUUGAUGUCCUUUUCAGGAGAUUUAUGUUUAUGUAUAGUCUUACCGGAAGCCAAAUACAACUUAUUAGAACAAUAGCAGCAAACAAUGAUACACCAAGGCAAGGUAAGAGAUAUGGAAAUCUGCAAAAUGUAAUGAAAUUAGAUAUGGGUAGUUAGUAUACCUGUGCAAGGUAGCCUCCAAGAGCUGGACCAACAACCAGACCCAAACCCCAUGCUGUGUUAACCUAUGAUCAAAGCAAAUCAUAACAGCUUUAUAAUGGUGCAUAUUGAAAGGAUUGUGGAACACAAUGGGGAAAACAAAAUAGUUGCUUGUGAGAUUACAAUGGAGAGUCCAAGAGCUUGAUGUUCAGUUUGGCAAACUUCAAUAGAAUAAGCCUGUAAUGGUUGAUAAACACUGUCAGCAAAGCUCCCUCCUAGGCACAUGAAUAAUGUUGAUAUUAUCACUUGGAAGACUUUUAAGUACCUUUAUUGGCGCAAGUAAACCAUUUAGAGCACCUAGAACAAAUCUUGUAGUAAGUGCCAUCCAAUACUUUGUACUUAGUCCAAAUAGUGUGUUAAAUAUGACCCUACAACAAUAUUGAAAACAUAAUGACAGGUUUCCUUCCUAUACGAUCUGCCACAACACCCCAAAAGAUCGCGGCAAAGGAUCUACCGACCAUAAACUAUACCGAGAAAUCCAGCAUAAUUCCCAAUGUCCUCCUCUGUUUGUGCUACUUGCAGGUCCCUUACCUAUGAAAACAGAGGACAGAAUAAGCUAGCCUAUUUAAUAUGUCAAAAGUGGCGAGUGUGGUAACGGCGACGAAGAAGAGCUCCGUGUAGGGGAUCCGCCCUCCGCGCCUCGCCUUCCUCUGCUCCUGCACGCACCCCGGGCACCUCUCCUCCGCCGCCGCCGCCGCCGCCGGCAGCAGCAGCAGCGGCGCCG